This 498-nucleotide ribosomal RNA is filed under the name uncultured bacterium. Its description in RNAcentral is "partial 16S ribosomal RNA". It matches the Rfam family "Bacterial small subunit ribosomal RNA", at positions 28 to 523 of the family's 1533-position model. The record is from RNAcentral.
GAUGAACGCUAGCGGCAGGCCUAAUACAUGCAAGUCGAGGGAGAAUGUUGGAUUCGUCUGACAUGAAACCGGCGCACGGGUGCGUAACACGUAUGCACCCUACCUUUAACUGGGGUAUAGCUCAGAGAAAUCUGAAUUAAUCCCCCAUAAGACUACGACAUGGCAUCAUGAUGUAGUUAAAGCUCCGGCGGUUAAGGAUGGGCAUGCGGUACAUUAGCUAGUUGGUGAGGUAAUGGCUCACCAAGGCUACGAUGUAUAGGGGGUCUGAGAGGAUGAUCCCCCACACUGGUACUGAGACACGGACCAGACUCCUACGGGAGGAAGCAGUAGGGAAUAUUGGUCAAUGGACGCAAGUCUGAACCAGCCAUGCCGCGUGAAGGAUGAAGGCCCUAUGGGUCGUAAACUUCUUUUAUUAGGGAAGAAAAAACGGGAUGCGUCCUGUACUGACGGUACUUAAUGAAUAAGGAUCGGCUAACUUCGUGCCAGCAGCCGCGGUAA